ACGACCAUAGGGUGUGGAAAACAGGGCUUCCCGUCCGCUCAGCCGUACUUAAGCCACACGCCGGCCGGUUAGUAGUUGGGUGGGUGACCACCGGCGAAUCCCGGCUGUUGUAUGUU
RNAcentral lists this ribosomal RNA (116 nucleotides) under Aspergillus udagawae. RNAcentral also lists the same sequence under 1 other name. Lineage: Eukaryota; Fungi; Ascomycota; Eurotiomycetes; Eurotiales; Aspergillaceae. The record is from RNAcentral.